RNAcentral lists this long non-coding RNA (1090 nucleotides) under Salvia miltiorrhiza (redroot sage). RNAcentral's name for it is "long non-coding RNA (SMIL_LNC000464)". The record is from RNAcentral. Lineage: Eukaryota; Viridiplantae; Streptophyta; Magnoliopsida; Lamiales; Lamiaceae.
UCACAUGUUACCCAAAACAAAAGUUCACGAUAAUAUUAUCCAUCAUUUAAGUGAAAAGAAAAAAGAAAAAUGAUGCGCAAGCAUCUACAUCUACGUUGCACGUCACCUUCCUCACCGACCCCCCUCGCCGUGUUCUGAAAUCCGUAUGCUCUCGUUAAGAUUUGGAAAAUGCAUCAACAUGGAAAAUCUGUUCACGCUCCAAGGAGUGGGGAAUUUCAAUUUGAAUGAAGAGGUGGUGAAAAGAAUCCCGGCCAAUAUCAAGAAAUUGUGCAUAACCUACCAAGGAGAAGUAAUUGAGAGAGUGGAGUGUCUCAGCUAUCUUCAUUGUUUGAGUAAACUGGAAAUCUUGAGCUGCUCCACACAAGGUGGAAGUGAUGAGUAUCUGAAAAGGAUUACCUUCCCACAUUCUCACAAGAAGUUGACUCUCAAUGCCUCGUUUGAAUUUGAUCUUGAGUUAGAAGACAUAUUGCAAAAGACUGGUUCGUUACCCCUUCUUGAGAAGCUCGUAUUGCAAUGUGGUUUCUUCAGAACACGCACGUGGGAAACAAUCGAAGGUCAUUUCCCUAGGCUCAAGUCACUCGAUGUGGUGGUGUCGCGAUCUAGAAUACUGGAGCAUGUUAGAGAGCUCCCACUUUCCACAUCUUGAGAAGCUUUUUCUUGUUAGAUUAUCAGUACUCAAGGAGAUUCCUUCAGAAAUAGGAGAGUUAGCAACACUCAAAUCAAUUGAGUUGAGAGAAUGCCCUGAAUCAGUAUUGGUGUCAGCUAAAAAGAUAGCAGAGGAACAAGAGGAUUUAUAUGGAGACCAAGUAGAACUUCGUGUUCGAGCUGUCGUUGGGAAGAAAGAUGAAGCACUGCCGAGGUUGGCGAGUGCCAACUUUGAAGUUGAAGUGAGAGAUUAUUAGAAAUUCUUCCACAAGUCUUUGUAUUGUUCAUUUUGUUUUACUAAAAUAACUGCUUUAAUUUCUCUUCCUUUUGGAACAUUUAUUUAUGUGCUUAAACUUUCUUACGUUAGAUCAUCAGUUGCUGUUCAUUUCUGCCAUCUGAAUUCAUAACUGGAAUUAAUAACCCUUAUCGAAACACACACACCAAC